GGUUCAUUCAAAUUUCUGCCCUAUCAACUUUCGACGGCUGGUCUUGGCCAGCCGUGGUGACAACGGGUAACGGAGGGUUAGGGCUCGACCCCGGAGAAGGAGCCUGAGAAACGGUACUACAUCCAAGGAAGGCAGCAGGCGCGCAAAUUACCCAAUCCCGACCGGGGAGGUAGUGACAAUAAAUACUGAUACAGGGCUCUUUCGGGUCUUGUAAUUGGAAUGAGUACAAUUUAAAUCCCUUAACGAGGAGCAAUUGGAGGGCAAGUCUGGUGCCAGCAGCCGCGGUAAUUCCAGCUCCAAUAGCGUAUAUUAAAGUUGUUGAGGUUAAAAAGCUCGUAGUUG
Molecule: ribosomal RNA, 342 nt
Filed under: uncultured fungus
Lineage: Eukaryota; Fungi
Description: SSU rRNA
Rfam family: Eukaryotic small subunit ribosomal RNA
Source: RNAcentral